Molecule: unclassified non-coding RNA, 315 nt
Filed under: soil metagenome
Description: partial contains 5.8S ribosomal RNA and internal transcribed spacer 2
Rfam family: 5.8S ribosomal RNA (bases 1-120)
Source: RNAcentral
GAUGAAGAACGCAGCGAAAUGCGAUACGUAAUGUGAAUUGCAGAAUUCAGUGAAUCAUCGAAUCUUUGAACGCAUAUUGCGCUCUCUGGUAUUCCGGAGAGCAUGCUUGUUUGAGUAUCAGUAAACACCUCAACUUCCAUAUCUUUUUUGAAAUGGGAGUUGGACUUGAGUGAUCCCAACGCUUUUCCUCACCGAAAAGUGGCGGGUUACUUGAAAUGCAAGUGCAGCUGGACUUUUCUCUGAGCUAUAAGCAUAUCUAUUUAGUCUGCCUAAAAAACAGAUUAUUACCUUUGCUGCAGCUAACAUAAAGGAGGA